UACGGAGGAUGCGAGCGUUAUCCGGAUUUAUUGGGUUUAAAGGGUGCGUAGGCGGACUGUCAAGUCAGCGGUAAAAUUGAGAGGCUCAACCUCUCCCCGCCGUUGAAACUGGUGGUCUUGAGUGGAUGAGAAGUACGCGGAAUGCGUGGUGUAGCGGUGAAAUGCAUAGAUAUCACGCAGAACUCCGAUUGCGAAGGCAGCGUACCGGCAUCCAACUGACGCUGAGGCACGAAAGCGUGGGGAUCAAACAGG
RNAcentral lists this ribosomal RNA (252 nucleotides) under uncultured bacterium. Its description in RNAcentral is "partial 16S ribosomal RNA". It matches the Rfam family "Bacterial small subunit ribosomal RNA", at positions 524 to 776 of the family's 1533-position model. The record is from RNAcentral.